This is a long non-coding RNA of Gossypium arboreum, 968 nucleotides long. RefSeq lists it as uncharacterized. The record is from RefSeq and is a predicted model, not a curated record. The transcript is spliced from 4 exons. Lineage: Eukaryota; Viridiplantae; Streptophyta; Magnoliopsida; Malvales; Malvaceae.
AGAAAAAUAAUGAAUCGUCAGAAAAUAAAUACACCUUGAAAAAAAGGAAACUUAAUCUACCCUUAUUCAAUCUUCCAACGGCUGGAAACCAUUAAUCCUUCUCGUCGUUUCAUUUCAUCUGUCCCAUCUGUUCCAUCCGUCUGACGAUAACACUGCCCAAGAGUAUCUUUCUUUGCUAUCUGCUUUAAGACCAAAUCCUCUCUCUGUCUUCUUAGUCUGGAUUCCUUGCCCAUUGCUCUGCUGUACCAACAUUGUGACGAAUCGUCUCUUCAUUCUCCAAAGAUGCAAUAUUGUUAUGAAGAAUCGAUUUCGAGGCCAAAUACUUGUUCAUCGUGCCCCAGACCACUAGCCCUGAUGUCGAUCUGAAAUCUCUGUUAUCGAAUGCAGCAUCAAACUGGAUUUUCAUAAUUGGUCUUUGCCUGUUGAACGUACCCUUUCAUACAAAAGCUGGUUUCUUGAAUGCCAAAGUAACCGUAAGGCAUAACAAAAGUAUCUACACUGUUCGUUUGUUCCUUGUUUGAAAAUUUCGUGUUUAUAGGACAUUGCCUGAAGAUGUGAUGACAAUCUUCUUCCCCAUAACCACAACAAGGACAACUAGAAUUUGUCACUAAUCUUCUAUAUCUGAGAUUGCCCAAAAUAGGAAUGUAAUUCUAGGAGAUGCGCCAGAUUAUGAUUGUAAUCUUAGAUGGUAGCUGUAGGUUCCAUAGCUUUCCAAAAAAUUCCUUAAUUUUGGUUUGUAAUAGAUAAUUAUUAGGAUCUAGAUUAGCAUUUUGUACUAGUUUGUAGGCACUACGAACUAAAUAUUCACCAGUCGGUUUGCCCCUCCAGACUUGAAAGUCCUCGAGAUCUGAUUCCGAUAAUGGGAUUUGUAAAAUUAUGCGAGCAACAUCCGGGUGAAAGGUAUUUCUAAUCAGCUCUGCCCUUCAUUUCCUAUUCACAUUAUCAAUAAGAUCCGAUACUAACUCUAA